AAACAUUAAUGAUUAAUUAAUAGGUUUAAUUGUCAUAUCAAAUAUGAAUAUACGAUAUUAAUGACUAAUUAACGACUUUUUUUGCCUAAAAAUAAAUAGGGUGUUGCUCUCUCCACCUCUUCUUUUCCACCCUCCACCUCCUUAGGUUUCUACUUUUUUUUUUAUUUUAUUACAAAAAUAUCCUUUUUCUUUUACUUUUUUAACCUUUUUAUUUUUUUUUACAUUUUUUAUUUUAGUUAUUUACUAGGAGUAAUGGUCAAACCCUAUGUUAACUUUUACUUUCUCCUCUCACUCACAGUCUCACCUCUCUCAAGAUUGAGAUUCGCCUCCCAAGAUUGAGAUUUGCCUCUUCUCCCAGCUCCGUCAUACUCUUUUCUUCUCUCUCGCUGCAAACUCUCCAAAAGCACUUUCCCCAUCCCUCUUUCUUUGUUCAAUUUCCGAUCUCUCCUUUUUGUUCAACUUAAUAUCUCUUGCUCAUCAGAAGCUUCAAGCUUCUUUCUUCUCCCACUCUUUCUCAUGGACAGCCGAAUCUUAGGACUAUGCGUCUCGAGCAAGGCACAAUCUCACGGCGAGAAGGGGCGGCAUUAUGCGAGGCAUGGCAAGGGCGUCCUGCAGCGUUGGCGUUUCUGCAAGGGUUCCAUAUUCGACAUCUUCACGAUGCGAGAAGCCCUGUUUGAUGGCGACGUCGUGGAGGAGAAGAGCGCGAUUGCGUUUGCGGUGUGGUGGCCUCUGUUAUCAGGUGGUUUCGCGACAACCGGACUUGUGGUCGUGGUGAUUCUAUGAGGGUGAUGAUGGUGCUGCGUGAAGGAGAUGCGCGUCGAAUUUGUGAUGAAGAUGAUGAGGGUGCGCGAUUAUGGCGGCGGCGCUGUGCUUCUGCUCUUGGAUCAUUUGAUGAUGGCGUGAUGAUUCAAUGCUGCGAAGAAGAUGCACGAGCUUGGUGUGGCUGGCUCGACGGUGGCGGCGAGGCAAUGGAGGUGGGGAGAGUUCGACGGAGAACAGGGGGAUCACGUGAAGGACUUCGUCAUUACAUGUUCACUUUGGGAUCAGAAAUUGAUUGUGAUAUAAGCAACCAAAAUGCGAGUAGCAGAGAAUGAGUGAAGAUGAUAAUAGAAAGGAUGUGUGAAGGGAGUAACAUGCAAUCCUCCCUUAAACGGAUACGAGGAUCCGUCUACGGAUGUCAACAUUCGUUUAAGGUAAAACAGAUGUCGACAUUCGCUUAUACCUUAAACGGAUGUUGACAUCCGUUGAUGGAUUCUCAUAUCCGUUUAGGAAGGUUUCAUGGGUUGUGGUCGCUUAUUCACACACUUUUUCUUAAAGUUUUUAUAGAUACCACCACCACCACUUCAACUUUGUUAUUCCUGUAAAAUUUUAACUUUAAAAAUAAACUUUUACUAAAAGGAUAAAAUAGAAAUAAAAAAAUAGAGGAAAGGGUAAAAGAGGAAGGGAGGAGGUGGAGGGAGCAAACCCCAAAUAUAUAUUGUAUUAAUAGAUAGCUAAUGGGCUUGGUUGCUAUGAAGCUUAAAGUAAAGAGAUUUUUUUCCAAAAUCACAUUAAGACCUCAUUAAGAAGGAUAUCUAACUUGAACGUCAGAAUUUUUUUACAGGUCAACAACCGAUCGAUGUGAAACAUGCUCUUGAGGAAUCUUGAACGAUUGGAACACAAGACAAAACAAGGAAGGACAACCGACUUUCAUACCCUUACAAUCGAAACAAAAUAUAUAUUUUUAUAAUUUUUUUUUAAAUAAAAACUUGUUUCAACUUGUUUUAUCUAUCGGUGUGAGGUGACUAAUUAUGUACACAAAGAAAUAUUUACAUUUAUGUAUGCUUUGAAUAAGUUUAGGUUGGAUUUUGUAUUGAUAUAAAUAAUUUAUUUUUAAAAGUGUUACAUGGUAAC
Vigna radiata var. radiata (mung bean) is the source of this 1893-nucleotide RNA transcript. RefSeq lists it as uncharacterized. The record is from RefSeq and is a predicted model, not a curated record. NCBI's taxonomy places the organism in Eukaryota, Viridiplantae, Streptophyta, Magnoliopsida, Fabales, Fabaceae. The transcript is spliced from 2 exons.